AUCUUUAUGAGCUGGAGGAGUAUCUCAGGGAGAAAAAAUUCUAGAAUGCAACGGAUAUAUUGAUGACGUGGCGUAACAAAUCAAUCAAAUAUAUCUUUUUAAGGGUAUAUGCCCCAUUAUGAUUGUAAAAAAAUAUUUUUAUUGUACUUUUGUUUGAAAAUAAGAAAUGUGAUUGGUUUGUUAUUGAUGACGCGGUGCAAGUGUGAUAGUGCAGAAUUCCUCCUCAGAGAGACGAGUCGAAAAAAUAUAGCGUCUCAUACUAACUAUCUUAUAUAAAAACAUAGCGAAAAUUUUCUCAAUAACUUUCUAAAACUAUCUAAUUUUAUAAAUACUCAUUUAAAAAUUAAAAUAUCAAGUAUACCCUCAUAAAUUUAGAAACUUUCAAAAAAAACUACCAUUAAGUACCCACCCAAAUUGAAAUUCAUGAUAUUUAAAUUCCAACUUUACCCCUCUUUAUAUUUAAUGGUCAAUUACUAAUUUUAUUUCAUAAAUAUCCCCUGUUAUAUUUGAAAAUUAACUAAAUUCGAUU
This 529-nucleotide long non-coding RNA is filed under the name Ananas comosus (pineapple). RNAcentral describes it as "long non-coding RNA (ACOM_LNC005394)". The record is from RNAcentral. Lineage: Eukaryota; Viridiplantae; Streptophyta; Magnoliopsida; Poales; Bromeliaceae.